Long non-coding RNA from Daucus carota subsp. sativus, 934 nucleotides. RefSeq lists it as uncharacterized. The record is from RefSeq and is a predicted model, not a curated record. The transcript has 3 exons. Lineage: Eukaryota; Viridiplantae; Streptophyta; Magnoliopsida; Apiales; Apiaceae.
UAUUUGGGCCGUUACAGGGCCUCUUUGAUCCAAAGUUUAGACAGGUCCGAUAAACUUGACCUAGAUUACGAACGUGGAUCAUGUAUGUCGAGAAUCGAGAUACAACAGUUCGGGUCCAUGGGCGUGACGGCGCUCUACUUUCGUACUAAACUGUCCUAACAAAGACAAAGAGUAGAUCAACUUCAAAUCUUCCCGCACUGACGCUCAGUCGCUCACCUGCUUUGGAUCUUGGAACUGCAGCAAUCUUAUCCUGAAUUGUAACUACACAUCUUAUUGUCUGAAUAACAACCAUAUUUCAUUCACUGAUCACUCCGUCAAAGUUCUAAUCGGGAAUUGAACUGCGCAACCGUAUGCUUAGGCGCAUACAUGAUUACGGUAUUGAACUAAUUGGAAAAAUGGCCAUAGAGCUGAAGACGGGCAUGAUUAUGAUGUAUAGGAGGCAGGAAACGUUUGGAGAGUUAGCUUUUUUUUUUUUUGGCCUAAUUGCUCCGAGAAGGAGCUUGAUUAAAACUUUUUAGACUCUUUGGCAUGCAAAGAAUCUCAUGGAGUGAGGUGGCUUCUUUGUAGGCAAUUAGCCAUGUUUCUUUUUCUACUGUUCUGCCGGUUGCUGCAACUGCAGGAGUCCUCCAGAUGGUUCUGUUAAUGAAACUGAACUUGGUAGACGGCCUAGACUGUGGUUUCUUCUAGGGAUGGUGUUGACUUCCCCACUCCUAAAGUGUAGAUCGGAUGCAUAAUAAAAGUAAUAAUCAGCUUCCGCCAUAGGUAAAAAGCCAUUUUAAUAUGUAUCUACUGUGUACUCUUCUUGGUGGGUAGCCCUACUGUCUUGUCAUGUUUGCAAUAGAUCUGUUGAAGUCGAAAUCAAUCGUGAAUCUGUUGGCCCUGAUUCUGAACUAUAGCUAUUUUAUUUUAUUUUGUUAUUGUUGUUAAAUUUUCA